UCGGGAGUGCCCUCGUGGCUCAACCUGCAACCCCAUGUUUUAAACACCCUUGUUUCUUUGGCGGGUUUGCCCGUCAGAAGAAUUCUCAAACUCGUUAUAAACGUGUCAUCUGAAUAACCAUAAAAUAAAAUUA
Molecule: unclassified non-coding RNA, 133 nt
Filed under: uncultured Lecanoromycetes
Lineage: Eukaryota; Fungi; Ascomycota; Lecanoromycetes
Description: sequence contains ITS1
Source: RNAcentral